RNAcentral lists this long non-coding RNA (438 nucleotides) under Rhinopithecus bieti (black snub-nosed monkey). Its description in RNAcentral is "lncRNA (ENSRBIG00000045842.1)". The record is from RNAcentral. Lineage: Eukaryota; Metazoa; Chordata; Mammalia; Primates; Cercopithecidae.
AUUUGACUUAAGAUCUUGCCUUGCUUUCUUCUCUCCCUCAGCAGAGAAUACUGUACAUGGCUAUGUACAUUUUCAAAAAAUGGAAGAGAUAGAGGUAUCGAGGAGGAGGGGCUGCAGUGAGCAAACUUCUCAGAUCUGCAGAGCUGAAGAACUAGAUCGGGGGUCUAAACUCCAGGGCCACAGACUGGUACCAGUCUGUUUUAGGAACCAGGCUGCACAGCAGGAGCGGACUCUGUCUUGAAUCACUACUUGCUCUCGAGAAAGUUCAGGGCUUCUGUGAUAGAGAAUAAGGAGAGAAAUGGGAGCGAAAGAAGAGAAAAAACAGAAACACCUCUCUGAAUGUGAAACACAGAUGUUUUAUUUUCGUGAAGUUGAAGAGAAAAGUGAAGCUGAGGAGAAAAUUGCACAAAACACAGCUGCAUUGUGCAAGAAAAAGUG